CUCAAGUGGCACAAAGGACACUCCAAUACACAUAUGGGUGGAAUAUGAAGAAGGUUCACAAUGUAUUUAAAGCAGUCCAACUUCAAGCGGUGGGAGGUGUGGAUGGAGAGGAAGGAGGCAGAAGAAUGGGAAGAUUAUGAGGUGCUCAUAGUGACGCUCAGCCAAACUAGGUGAUCAUUAGCCAGACUCAAGAGUUGGUUGCAUAAUUGCUUCCAAAAAUAUGUUUCAAUGGCUCCACAUUAAACUGGAAAGAAGUAUCAAAGGACA
Molecule: long non-coding RNA, 267 nt
Organism: Crotalus tigris (Tiger rattlesnake)
Lineage: Eukaryota; Metazoa; Chordata; Lepidosauria; Squamata; Viperidae
Exons: 2
Source: RefSeq, a predicted model, not a curated record